AGGGAGCGACCAAGGACGAGCGAGGAGAGAGAAAGAAAUAGGAGAGAGAGAAAGAGAGAGACGGGGGGGGGGGGAAGGAGUAGUAUUAGCAGCGAUCGAUCACAAGCAAGAGCCGGGGCAUAAAUCGGCGGAGAAGAAACAAAAGCGCAGAGAGGACAAAAGAACACGAAGAACUCCACGAAGGAAGGAGGGAGGCAAGAAGAAGCUCUUCCGAAGCGAAAAUCGGAAGCAGGAAGAACAAGAACAAGCAACAGAAAAUCGCUUCAAAAGCUCUUCUCGCCGGGAAUCCAAGCGCACUCACUGUAAAUUGCUGGAAGCUCUGAAAGGGAUGUAAUUUAUGGUUUGUACAGUUGGGGACCUGGGAAGCACCGAGAAGCAUGGGGUUAUGGCUCAGGUUUAGUGAUUCAGUUAGGGUUUUGAUUUUUAAAGGAUUCGGAACAUGGACACUUUGAUUUAGGGUUUUGGACGGAGAUUGGAGGUUUAUACGGAGUUUGAUCUCCGGUGGAGUAUUGUAGCUUGUUUAAUUUUGAUUAUAGGGUUUUCAUUUUGAAAAGAUGAGAUUUGGGUCUGCAUUGUGUGAAUUUGUGGGCGUUUUAAUGUGGGUGCGACUGUAAUUUGGAUUGGAAUUUUGAGGAAGGGGUCUGGGGUUUGGUGCAAUUUGUGGAUUGUGUAUGUGUUUGCAUUGAGAGAUGAAACCAGAGCGGGACUUAAGAAUUGAUGUUAGGGAGUUGAAGGUUCAGAUUGUGAAGAGGAUUGGGACUGAGAGAUCGAAGAGAUAUUUCUAUUAUUUGGACAGGUUGUUAAGUCAGAAAUUGAGUAAAAGUGAGUUUGACAAGCUGUGUUUGCGAGUGCUUGGGAGAGAGAAUCUCCAACUACACAAUCAGUUUAUACGAUCCAUUUUGAAGAAUGCUUGUCAUGCCAAGACCCCGCCUCCAAUUCAUGAAGCGGGUCCCUCUAAAUCUUUGCCAGCAGGUGGAAGAAGUUCCUCUCCUAUUGAAGAUGGGCACAAACCAAGUGGAUCCAUGGUUCCAAAUCAAAUUCAAGCACCGCCCAUUUGGUCGAAUGGGGUUGUAUUGCCAAUGUCACCAAGGAAGGGUAGGUCUGGGAUUCGUGAUCCGAAGCUUAGGGAUAGACUGAGUCCCCUUGGACCAAAUGGGAAAGUGGAUUCUGCGUCUCAUCAAUCUAUGGCAAUAGAAGAUGGUGGUAAUAAGGUUAUUAUGGAAAAUGGGGAGUUGCCUCCAUGUGAUUAUCAGAGGCCCUCACAGCAUCUUCAUGGGCUUGCUGAGCAACCUGAGAAUGAUAAGGAGACUUCGGUUCAGCAGUCAAUGGGAAGACAGAAAAUGAAGAAGUCAAUGGAUGCUCCAGUUUUACUACAUAGUAAAGAUCAGACUAAAGUAGCAGUUGCUGAAGAUGAGGAAGAAGUGGAACAGGCAAAUCAUUUGAAUUUUUCUAGAAGUCCACUCCUUGCACCAUUAGGGAUUCCAUUCUGCUCUGCUAGUGUAGGUGGGGCCCGCAAAACUGUGCCAAUGGCUAGCAGUGGUAAUUUUGUUAGCUAUUUUGAUAGUGGUGGUUUGUCUGAUACGGAGACGCUGAAGAAACGAAUGGAGCAGAUUGCAGUAGCACAAGGCCUUGGAGGGGUAUCUAUGGACUGUGCUAACAUGUUGAAUAAUAUGCUGGAUGUGUAUUUGAAGCGAUUAGUGAAGUCUUGUGUUGAGUUGGCUGAGGCUAGGUCUGCACAUGAGCCGAGAAAGCACCACCUUGCCCAGAAGCAGCAGAUUCAAACCAAGCUUAUUAAUGGCAUGUGUCUAACUAAUCAUUACCAUAUGCAGAAUGGUGGAGGGCCUGCUGAUAUUGUACAAGAACAUAGAAAUCGUUGCUCAAUAUCUUUGCUUGAUUUCAGUGUUGCGAUGGAGCUUAAUCCGCAGCAACUUGGAGAAGACUGGCCAUUGCUGCUGGAGAAGAUUUCUAUGCAUGCAUUUGAGGAAUGAGCCAUCUGCGGACAAAACUUGGCUUUAUCCUAAGCUGUGACUGGGUCAGUCUAUUCUGAUUCCGAGGUUCACAACUGUUGUUGGGCACUGUUGGUGUAUUGAUGCAGCCGGAUCUCAUGGCCAUGAAUCAGAUGACUGCCAUUCAGCUAAUGCUCUGAUCCUUGCAAGAUGGAUUGAUGAGCAUCAACAAUCUGUGUUCUCCUGCUGCAGAGCCUGGUUGCAAUUGGGGACUCACUUUACAGCAGCCAAUCAAUGGGUAAUUUCAAAAGGAACGCCCAUGUCUGGUUGUCGUGUUGUACGUUUAGCAUUCGUGUUGGCUGUCUUCUGCCAUCACCACAGAUCAUGAGCCUUUCAUGUAAUUUACCGCCCAGAGGAAAUCUAAGAAAGUUUUGCAGGGAUACUUAUGUAGCUUGGUGAAAGUUCUUUGCGGAAUGGAUAAAUCCAAAUGGAUACCAGCUCUUUGUGGUGCCAGAAGCUCUCCGUUUGCACGAUCGUGUCUAAGUAUUUGGAAGAUAAAAUAAAGUAGGAAAAGUGAACAGCAACCCUUGAGCUUUGUUUGAUGAGAGAUAAGCCUUUUUUUUUUUUACCCUGAUCUGUGUAACGUGGCUUUUAUGGAGCCCUCCUGUUUAGUUUGUUAUUUGAUCAAACUUUUUUGGGCUGUGGGAGAGUUGUAACUGAUUCUAUGGAUAUGUGCGUUAAACUUAUCUUAUUGGUUGCACUCUUUUAAUAACAAGGAUGAUGUUAGGUGCUGAAUGCCUACUAUUGUCCCUUUGUGAUAAGCA
Malania oleifera is the source of this 2770-nucleotide RNA transcript. RefSeq lists it as uncharacterized. The record is from RefSeq and is a predicted model, not a curated record. Lineage: Eukaryota; Viridiplantae; Streptophyta; Magnoliopsida; Santalales; Ximeniaceae. The transcript has 3 exons.